Molecule: unclassified non-coding RNA, 345 nt
Filed under: soil metagenome
Description: partial contains 5.8S ribosomal RNA, internal transcribed spacer 2, and large subunit ribosomal RNA
Rfam family: 5.8S ribosomal RNA (bases 1-120)
Source: RNAcentral
GAUGAAGAACGCAGUGAAAUGCGAUACGUAAUGUGAAUUGCAGAAUUCAGUGAAUCAUCGAGUCUUUGAACGCACAUUGCGCCCCCUGGUAUUCCGGGGGGCAUGCCUGUCCGAGCGUCAUUGCUGCCCUCAAGCACGGCUUGUGUGUUGGGCCUCCGUCCUCCUCCCGGGGGACGGGCCCGAAAGGCAGCGGCGGCACCGCGUCCGGUCCUCGAGCGUAUGGGGCUUCGUCACCCGCUCUUGUAGGCCCGGCCGGCGCUUGCCGACACAUCUAUCUUUUUUCCAGGUUGACCUCGGAUCAGGUAGGGAUACCCGCUGAACUUAAGCAUAUCAAUAAGCGGAGGA